AACCGGUGAAAUGAUGGGAAGCUGUUAACAACAACACAAUUUGUGAAUAUCUCUAAAACAAAAUCCGUUUGUCUUAAAUCAAACAAAAUUAAAAAAAGAACGUAAUCAAGACCUACUUGUUGUAAUGCAAUUAGAGAGAGAGCGUUACUAGGCAGUGCAGUCUAUGCUUUAACCCUUUCAAGACCAUUGAUUACCUGUGUACUCAGUCAAUGUUCU
Molecule: non-coding RNA, 216 nt
Organism: Pelobates cultripes (western spadefoot toad)
Lineage: Eukaryota; Metazoa; Chordata; Amphibia; Anura; Pelobatidae
Source: the annotation of a GenBank genome assembly